CGCGUAGGUGGUUUGUUAAGUUGGAUGUGAAAGCCCCGGGCUCAACCUGGGAAUUGCAUCCAAAACUGGCAAGCUAGAGUACGGUAGAGGGUGGUGGAAUUUCCUGUGUAGCGGUGAAAUGCGUAGAUAUAGGAAGGAACACCAGUGGCGAAGGCGACCACCUGGACUGAUACUGACACUGAGGUGCGAAAGCGUGGGGAAGCAAACA
Molecule: ribosomal RNA, 208 nt
Filed under: uncultured bacterium
Lineage: Bacteria
Description: partial 16S ribosomal RNA
Rfam family: Bacterial small subunit ribosomal RNA
Source: RNAcentral